RNAcentral lists this ribosomal RNA (958 nucleotides) under uncultured bacterium. RNAcentral's name for it is "bacterial SSU rRNA". It matches the Rfam family "Bacterial small subunit ribosomal RNA", at positions 8 to 941 of the family's 1533-position model. The record is from RNAcentral.
AGAGUUUGAUCCUGGCUCAGAAUCAACGCUGGCGGCGUGCCUCAGACAUGCAAGUCGAACGCGAAAGGUUCCUUCGGGGACCGAGUAGAGUGGCGUCCGGGUGAGUAACACGUGGGUAAUCUACCUUCGGGUGGGGAAUAACGACCGGAAACGGUCGCUAAUACCGCAUAAUGCAGCGGCACCUAAUGGUGACAGUUGUUAAAGCGGGGGAUCGCAAGACCUCGCGCCUGAAGAGGAGCCCGCGGCGGAUUAGCUAGUUGGCAGGGUAACGGCCUACCAAGGCGACGAUCCGUAGCCGGCCUGAGAGGGCGGUCGGCCACACUGGCACUGACACACGGGCCAGACUCCUACGGGAGGCAGCAGUCGGGAAUUUUGGGCAAUGGGCGAAAGCCUGACCCAGCAACGCCGCGUGAAGGAUGAAAUCCCUCGGGAUGUAAACUUCACAAGAACGGGAAGAAUAAGUGGGGGCCAAUACCCCCCAUGAUGACGGUACUGUUUGUAAGCUCCGGCUAACUUCGUGCCAGCAGCCGCGGUAAUACGGGGGGAGCAAGCGUUGUUCGGAUUUACUGGGCGUAAAGGGCGCGUAGGCGGCGCAACAAGUCACUUGUGAAAUCUCGGGGCUCAACCCCGAGCGGCCAAGUGAUACUGUCGUGCUUGGAGUGCGGAAGGGGCAACCGGAAUUCUUGGUGUAGCGGUGAAAUGCGUAGAUAUCAAGAGGAACACCUGCGGCGAAAGGCGGGUUGCUGGGCCGACACUGACGCUGAGCGCGAAAGCUAGGGGAGCGAACGGGAUUAGAUACCCCGGGUAGUCCUAGCCUUAAACGAUGAUUGCUUGGUGUCCGAGGUAGAUAGUCCUUCGGGUGCCGUCGCUACGCUUUAAGCAUUCCGCCUGGGGAGUACGGUCGCAGACUGAAACUCCAAAGGAUUUGACGGGAACCCGACCAAGCGUGGGGAACUUG